AACUUCCUACGGGGGGCAGCAGUGGGGAAUAUUGCGCAAUGGGCGAAAGCCUGACGCAGCGACGCCGCGUGAGGGAUGAAGGUGUUCGAAUCGUAAAGCUCUGUCAGCAGGGAAGAACGGUCACUGUGCUAAUCAGCAGUGAAUUGACGGUACCUGCAAAGGAAGCACCGGCUAACUCCGUGCCAGCAGCCGCGGUAAUACGGAGGGUGCGAGCGUUAAUCGGAAUUACUGGGCGUAAAGCGCUCGUAGGCGGUAUGUCAAGUCAAGGGUGAAAUCCCCGCGCUCAACUGGGGA
RNAcentral lists this ribosomal RNA (294 nucleotides) under uncultured bacterium. Its description in RNAcentral is "partial 16S ribosomal RNA". It matches the Rfam family "Bacterial small subunit ribosomal RNA", at positions 333 to 620 of the family's 1533-position model. The record is from RNAcentral.